GCAUAUUUCAACAAUAAAAAAAUUGAUGCCUCACAACUCUCUACCCCUCACACGCCCCAUCCACCAUUUUUUUAGUAAUUAAAAUCCACAUCUCUAAAACCUACCUCUUUCUUAAGUGAAAGUAUUCCACCAUAUUUUAAUUUUCUCUUCUUGGAAAAUUUAUCUCUAUAAACUCUCUUAAAUGAUCUCUUCUUAGGUAGAAGUAUUCCACUGUAUCUCAACAAAUAAGUGCAUGUCCCAAAAUCUCUCAUAUUUCA
Molecule: long non-coding RNA, 257 nt
Filed under: Elaeis guineensis (African oil palm)
Lineage: Eukaryota; Viridiplantae; Streptophyta; Magnoliopsida; Arecales; Arecaceae
Description: long non-coding RNA (EGUI_LNC034587)
Source: RNAcentral